This 29-nucleotide non-coding RNA is filed under the name Mus musculus (house mouse). Lineage: Eukaryota; Metazoa; Chordata; Mammalia; Rodentia; Muridae. The record is from RNAcentral.
UCAAUUCGGAACAGAAAGUCAGCGUUAAC